UCCUGGUGUUUACUUGGAAUCUGCUUUCUAGUGACAUGAAGUCAUUGGCUUCGGUUCUGCCCUCUGGAGCAGGAGAAAACAUCCCCUAUGGGACAGCCCUUGAGAUAUUUGAAGAUGGCUAUCAUAUCUCCUCUCAAGUCUCUUCUUUUCCAGGCUAAACAUGCCCAGCUCCUUCAACCA
Molecule: non-coding RNA, 180 nt
Organism: Podarcis lilfordi (Lilford's wall lizard)
Lineage: Eukaryota; Metazoa; Chordata; Lepidosauria; Squamata; Lacertidae
Source: the annotation of a GenBank genome assembly